RNAcentral lists this long non-coding RNA (5035 nucleotides) under Ovis aries (sheep). Its description in RNAcentral is "lncRNA (ENSOARG00000025808.1)". Lineage: Eukaryota; Metazoa; Chordata; Mammalia; Artiodactyla; Bovidae. The record is from RNAcentral.
CUCCCGGAGGUGUCAGCACACUCGCCUCUCACUCGGGCUGGGCUCUUCCGAAAGCGCCUGGCUGGGAGCGCGGAGGUGCACACGUGCGCUGAAAAGAGGUUCGAGCCCCGGGCUUGUUUUUCAACAAUACACGGGGAAAAGGCACACUCUCCCAGUUAUCUCUCGGGGGCGCGGACGCCUGCACCUGAGCAGAGGGAUCCGUCCGCGAGGGACGGAGGAGGCGCCCGAAGCGCGGGAGAGACGUUGAGGAAGGGGGCGCGCCGGCGACGAGAGGGCACCCGCGCGGGCCGGGCCCGGCCCGGGUUAGCGGCCGCAGCUCCCGGCUGGGGUUGCGCAGGAAGGCCCGAAGCCCGGGCCCUACUCACCGAAGUCCAGGAACUGCUUCAUGGAGAGCGGGGAUGGCGAGAAGCGCGCGUAGAAGUCCACUUGGCCGGGAACGCCGCGUUCGGGCGCCGGGCCGGAGCCCGAGUCCUCAGGUCUCCUGUCCUCCGCCGAAAAGCUCUAGCACAGGAUCGACAUCCGCUUCCAGGCACCACAGUGUCUUGCUUAGAGCGUGUUCCAGAAACGCUCCAAAAAACAAGCCCAUAUUUUACGGAGGAGCAAACUGAGACCCCCAAAAAUUUUCAGAGCAGACCCUUGCCAAACAGUGGUACAAAAGUACACAUGGUGAUUACUAUAGAGCGUGGCCCUAAAUAAUAGCGCAACGACUCCCGUCCCAAGAGAAGAGAAUUGGCGGCUCAACUUGAAGCUUUAUCUACUGUCAUUCUCCGGCUGGGCAGCAAUGUAUAUAAAGGUUCCCACAGCUCCGACUGCCCUUCUCUUUAACUGUCUUAGCGUCACAGUUUGAUUGCUCCAACCUUUGCAGUCUCCAAAUAGUGAAUAUAAGACUAGAGAAUUUCUAAUUUCGAUUUAAUCGCCCAGAGCUGCGAAGGCUGUCUAUAGUGAAAAUCACCACUGUCCCUUCUUGCCACUGCCCCUCCCUAUAUCUAAUCCUAGUGGUUUGUUAUGUCUUAGAUGCCAACAAAAUUACUUUUCCUUCGGUGUGUAGUUUAAUUUAAAAUAUAUAUUUUAUAUAUUAUACAAUUUUAAGAUUUUAUAUAUAUGUGUAUGUAUAUAUAUAAAUAUUUACAGCAGUUAUUGGUCUAGAAUAACAUUUCUAUUCUCCAUAUUCUGAUCUUGGGUUGUAUAAAAACAUGUGUAAAGAAUGAGGUGAAUGUCUUUUUAGGGUGUAUUAGUGUUACUAAACUGCAUUCAUUUGCCCAGCGUGCAGCUCUGAGAUGCCAAGGUUUGCAGGGGAAAGGUUUAUAAGUCAUGAGGCAGCCAAGAGAGGAGAAGGGAGACCAAAUCUUAAAUUCACCUUCCUUAAGGGAAAGAGCUUGGGAUAUUUAUGGGACAAAGAAGUUGGGUGCCCUGAGGCCUGGGGAAAGGUGACUGGAGAUAAGGAAAAGGUGAAGAAAAUGGCAGGGUGGUAUCAUCUGAGGGUGGAGUGUUUGGCCUUCUGAUGUCAAGAGGUUCUCCAUCCAGCACUCCAGCAGGCCCAGCUGAAUGGUUGGUGGUCUCAACUGAUCUGAACUGGGCAAGACUAGCUCCAUGUUCCUGAAAAACAACUUUUGAAACCUUUACUAUAGUGACCCAUCCAUCAGAGGUACUGCCUCUAGAGGACAGCUAAAGGAGUCACGAUUGUCUAAGCUACCCGACGAAGGGCGUGCAGUGUGCAGGAACAGUGAAGGCAAGUUUGAUCAGUGAAGUUACUGAUAUUACCGAUUAAGCAAAAGUUAUAGUUUAAGGGAUCAAACUGAUGACUGCCCUCAGUUUCAUUAGUCCCACUGGUUUAGCUUGAAGGAAAACACUGACCACCUUUAUGGGUAUAGGUAGUUGAGGGUUGGAGUAGAAGCAAUACUUAAACAUGUUUUCCAAAAGUGGUGCCUCUAAGAAUUCUUUCAGAUAUCUGUUAACCUGGUUGUUGUUACCAUUUUGGUAAAAAUUUCUUAGAGGAAGCAGUAUGAACAUAAGACUAUGAGAUAGGUAGAGAAAGUCGGAGAAGGUAAUGGCACCCCACUCCAGUACUCUUGCCUGGAAAAUACCAUGGAUGGACAAGGCUGGUAGGCCGCAGUCCAUGGGGUCACUAAGAGUCAGACACGACUGAGCAACUUCACUUUCACUUUUCACUUUCAUGCAUUGGAGAAGGAAAUGACAACCCACACCAGUGUUCUUGCCUGGAGAAUCCCAGGGACGGGGGAGCCUGGUGGGCUGCCGUCUAUGGGGUCUCACAGAGUCGGACACCGACUGAAGCGACUUAGCAGCAGCAGCAGCGGAGAAAGUAAUCAAGUCUUUUUUAUUUAUUUGCUGUCCUACCAGCCAUACUCUGUACCCUCUAAGUGUGACCUUCCUUCAUCUAUUCUAUGAAUGUUUGUUGAAAGCACAUUAUGUAAAGUCCAUCAUCGUCGAAGUUUUACACAUAUCUUCAAAUAUUAGACAGCCUGCUCCAUAAAAUAAGGAUUAUGUUUGCUCUGAGUGACCCAGACGGCAGAUGGAAGACUUGGGGAUGGAAACUGUAGGGAGACAGAUCUCACCCUCGCGUGGACAAACUUUGGUUCCAGCCCUUUGACUAUGAAAGGGGCGACUUAGAGGAGGAGGGGGUUCUUAUCAAUGACAGAGACCAAAGGACAGCAUUUUAAGGAGGCUGUGGGGAGGGUGAUAGCAAAGCUGUGUGGUGCUAUGAACACAGCCUGGAUUCUGGUGUCAGAUCCUCUUUCAUGUACUGGAUAUGUGACCUCGAGUGAAUUACCUUUCUGAGCAUCAGCCUCCUUCCCUAGAAAGGGGGGAAACUGGCUGUCUCAUUGGGGGUGACUGUGAAUAGAUAGUGUAGCCAUCUGUGUUAGCACAAUACCCAGGAUAUACUAAACACUCAGAUUCCAUCUUUUUUUUUUUUUAACCAUUACUGCUGUUUUUUAAAAAAAUUAUUUCCUUAUUAGGGUUUAAUCAGAACCGCUCACACACAUUUUUCAUGAAGCAAACUUUACCAAAGGUUUGGUAGAAGACAAUUUACAACUGAACAUUAGCCAUCCUUAAAAUAGUCCUCAACUGUUCCGCAGCUCUCCUGCAGCCUCCAGUCAUGUGGCCUUCCUCCUCCUCCCCUUCCUUCCAGAUUACUCCCUGAGCUCUGAAUUCUCCUCACACUGUCGUACACAGUAUAAUCGGCUUCCUCAGCCUCAAUUUGGAACUCUGCUGCUUUCCACCCGAGCAUGUUGAGGUGCUCAACUGAACAUUAACUUGUGUGAAAGUACAAAGGUGAGGCAGAAAGCUUGGGAUUCAUUGUGUCAAGGUUCAUUCACCCAAAAACCAAUCCAAGUUUUCUUUUCUUCAAAGUAUAUUCACCAAACUUCCACCCAACUUAUAGCAAAUGAGUAUAUAAAAACAGAUACAAAAUUGCAUCAGCUUUUCACUUCUUGGUCAAAGGCUGAGGAUCCAGAAACUGGAGAGAAUGUUAGAUAUUUUUUAGAUAUCUGUUAGAUUGAUGGUUAUUAAGACUGUGGUAAAAAUAUUUUAGAGGAAGUGAUAUGAAUUAAUAAGAUAUGAAUGAAGUGAUAUGAAUACAUAAGAUAUGUAUUCAAAGGUAGAAAGUGAUCAAAGGGUGGAAUAUCUUUCAUGAAUUUUUACCAAAGGGCUAUAUUAUUUAACUAUGUGCAUAUAAAGUAUAAUUGUAAUUUAAGGCUCUCUAAAAACUUCUUUAUAACAGACUUGGGUGGAUUCUCUAAAUUCACUGAGAUUGUGUGAUUAUUGUCGGAUUGAUUUGGCUGAAAAUCAUGUAAAGCAAUAGGAAGCAAACUGAACUAUGCCACCCUGUCUCCUUUAUCCUGUGGCUUCAUGGGGCUCAGAGGACAAGAGGAGAGAAAAGUGAUUAUUCAUUCUCCUGCUUCUUCCUGCUGGGCCAUGACUUGUGUCCCUUUUAAGUAUGGCCAUAGCUCCCUUCCUGUGCCCAGGGAGCCCUAGAGGCGGUACCAGGUUCCCUCUCCUGCUGAUUGGGGUGCUUCACUAUCUCCAUCUCUACUCUGCCCACACCUCUGCAAACAGUCCCUGAAAACACUCUUCAGUUUCCCCUUAGAGUACCAUACCAUUUCCUGCCCCAGAACCCUGACUGCUGCUUUACAAAGGUAACUUUCAAAAGACAUAAAAUCAUGUCUUUCAUGCAACUGCAAAAUGAACACAUCUCUAUCACGGUGUGUACUACUUUUAUCAAUUAUAUCUCAUUGAAGCUAAAAAAAAUAAAAUGAACACACUAAAAUUUUAAUUAACACUUUCAUUAAAUUAGAGACUCAGAAAAGAUACUACAACCAGUUCAAAGGGGAAGGCAAAAAAAAAAAAUAGGAUUACAGAAAUGAAUUUGUAAAGGGUUACAAAACUGGCUUUUCCCCUUAGGAGUCAGGAACCCUCCACCUCUAACUGAUAGAACAUAUUUGCCUGGAUAUAGGCAAGAAUAUAGGUUUUUACAGGAGUCAUGUACAGAUGUGAGAGUUGGACCAUAAAGAAGGCUGAGUGUCAAAAUAUUAUUGCUUUUGAAUUGUGGUGCUGGAGAAGACUCUUAAGAAUCUCUUGGACAGCAGGGAAAUCAAACCAGUCAAUCCUAAAGGAAAUCAACCCUGAAUAUUCAUUGGAAGGACUGAUGCUGAAAGCUCCAAUACUUUGGCCACCUGAUGUGAAGAGUCAACUCAUUGGAAAAGACCCUGAUGCUGGGAAAGACUGAGGGGAGGAGAAGGACUGGCAAUCUGUUUCACAUAUGGUAAUAUACAUAUUUCAAUGCUAUUCUUUCAAAUCAUCCUACCCUUGCCUUCUCCUAGAGUCCAAAAGUCUGUUCUUUACAUCUGUGUCUCUUUUGCUGUCUCGAAUAUAGGGUCAUUGUUUCCAUCUUUCUAAAUUCCAUAUAUAUGCGUUAAUAUACUGUAUUGGUUUUUUUCUUUCUGACUUACUUCACUCUGUAUAAUAGGCUCCAGUUUCAUCCACCUCAUUAGAACUGAUUCAAAUGCAUUCUUUUUAA